This 504-nucleotide long non-coding RNA is filed under the name Vigna radiata. RNAcentral describes it as "long non-coding RNA (VRAD_LNC011363)". The record is from RNAcentral. Lineage: Eukaryota; Viridiplantae; Streptophyta; Magnoliopsida; Fabales; Fabaceae.
UCUCAGCGGUUUGCCUCCAAGACUCCGACCGCUCAGCGGUCUAUUCCGUCGCUUAGCGGUUUGCCUCCAAAUCGCUGGACGCUCAGCGGCGCCGCUCAAGCGAGAAACAGUGGACUCACCCUCGAAAUUGGCGCUCAGUGUUGGAAAUAGCGUUGAGCAGUGAACUUGACUCUUCUUUUCUUCCUUUUUGCUCUUUUCUUGAGUCUAAGUUGUGACACCCGAGCACUGACGAGGGCGGGGAGUGAUCGCCGGUGCAAGAGGCAUGGUGCAAGGGGCACGGACAAGGAGCGGCUCCUGGCAGGCUUCGAGUGGAAGGGGCACAUGGACGAAUCGAACAUACACCGGAAUGAGAGGGAUCUGGAGACUGUAUAGGUAUGGGACUAUAUAGUUGAAAGAUAGCUUAAAGGAAUUGAUUUGGCUACCCAUAUCACCAAAAUGCAUUUACUUUUCGGUAGCCUAACCCUUAAGAACUCCAUGGUUAAGCGUGCUUAGCCUGGAGUAAUU